This 3799-nucleotide transfer RNA is filed under the name Sus scrofa (pig). RNAcentral's name for it is "lncRNA (ENSSSCG00000047198.1)". Lineage: Eukaryota; Metazoa; Chordata; Mammalia; Artiodactyla; Suidae. The record is from RNAcentral.
UUGGGGGGUGGGGGGAUGUGCUUGGGCUGUGGGAUGGAAAUCCUAUGAAAUCAGAUUGUUAUGAUCAUUAUACAACUACAGAUGUGAUAAAUUCAUUUGAGUAGAUUUUGGGAGGGGCCUAAAACUUGAACAAUUUCAGAUGCCUUUAUUAAGAAAAAUAAUAAAACACUAUACAGGAGUCACCCUUGUGGCUGAGCAAGUUAGGAAUCUGACAUAAUGCCCAUGAGGAUGCAGAUUCACUCCCAGGCCUCGCUAAGUGGGUUAAGGAUUCUAGCACUGCUGCAAGCAUCAGUGUAGAUCAAAGGCGUGACUCAGAUCCAGGUUGCUGUGGCUGUAGCCUAGGCCUGCAGCUUCAACUCUAAUUCGACCCCCAGCCCAAGAACUUCCAUAUGCUGCAGGUACAGCCAUAAAAAGAAAAAAAAAAUUAUAAAUAUAGAAUUGGGAAUAAGUUAAGGCUAUAGACAUACAGAUAUAUAAAAGAAAUCACAACAAAUUUCAAAUUUCAAAAAGCAAUCAAUGUUACAAACAUCACCAAACCCAGAAAAAAAUACCAUAAUAUUUUUAUUUGAAUGCCUAACUUACUUCUAUAAUAUUUCCCCUACUUUUUUGUGUUUUCCUAUAUGGCAAUCUUAUAAAAUCAUUUACGGCAGAGGAACAGAAGAACAAUUCAACCGUUCUUCUAAUACGGCUGACUGAAAAAAUUUUAAUUGUGGUUCUUUAUUCCUGAUUAUCCAGAAUACAUGAAACACAUGACUUCACACACAAAUAUAUUCAAGGGAACUCUGAUACAGUCAUCCAAAAGGAAAAAAGAAAAAAAGAUUCUGAUGUGUUCGUAAUUGAAUAUGCUGCAUGAUCAAACAUGUUCCUUUAAUAAGAGGAGAGAAUUUUAUUUUCAUUAGGCAUCAUAGAAAUGAACACACAUCUGAUAAUUGGAAACCCAUCCCGAAGACAAGCUGGCUUUGUGUACCCAAACCUCAUUGCAUCAGUGGCGACACACAUCCUCCCAGUGCUGUGCGCAGAGGACACGUUCUUAUUACAAACCUGCACCUUGGGUCAUGAUGCUGUCUAAGUGGAUAAUACGAUUAUUCCUGGAUGUCAUACUUAUACUGAAACAGCUAGAACUAUCUUAAAUAUGCACAAAUGUGACUGCAAAUCCCCAAAUACAUUUCAUUAAAUAUGAUGCCAGUUUGAAUGCCCCUUAACCAGGUCCCAUGUGCACACAGCCCAUGUUUUGUUAUUUUUAGCAUACAGAUUCUGCACAUAUGUUAUUAGAUUUAUACCUGUAUGUUUUACUUCUUAAGGGUGCCGUUUUAUUUUUAUUAAUUUAUUUGACCACACCUGUGGCAUGCAGAGGUCCCCAAGCCAGGAACUGAACCUGAUCCACAGCAGUGACAAUACUGAGUCCUUAACCACUAGGCUACCAGAGAACUCCUUUUAAUUAAUUGUAUUUUUUUAGGGCCCCCACCCCCGCCACAACACAUGGAAGUUCCCAGGCUAAGGGUCAUAUCAGAGCUGCAGCUGCCAGCCUACGCCACAGCCACAGCAACGUGGGAUCCAAGCCGUAUCUGCGACCUAUGCUGCAGCGUGCAGCAACACCGGAUCCUUCACCCACUGAGUGAGGCCAAGGAUCAAAUCUGCGUCCUCGUGUAUACCUGUCAGGUUCCUAACCCACUGAGCCACAAUGGGAACUCUAAAGGUACUUUUUUUUUCAAUUCCAAAUUGUUCAUUACUAAAACACAGAAAUAUGAUUGGUUAGCUUUUAUAUAUUGAUAUUGUAUUCUGCGGCCUUGAAAAAACUUACUCUAGUGACUUCUGGAUAGAUUCUUUGAGAAUUUCUAUAAUUUUUUUUUUUUCUUUAAGGCCGCACCCACAGCAUAUGGAGGUUCCCAGGCUAGAGGUCGAACUGGAGCUGUAGCCACGGGCCUACACCUGAGCCACAGCAAGGCAGGAUCCAAGCUGCAUCUGCGCCCUACGUCACAGCUCAUGGCAACACCAGAUCCUUAAGAGAAUUUCUACAAUCUUCUCAUCUGCAAAUAGGAUUGUCUCUUCCAUUCUAUAUGCUAUUUGUUUCUUCUGUGCCUUCCUGCUCUGGCUAGGACCUCCAGGGUGAUACUGGAUACCAGUGGUGAUAGCAGUCAGCCUUCUUUUUUCUUCACCGUAGGGGAAAAGCCUUGAGCCUUUUACCGUUAAGAGUGCUGUUAGAAGUUCUCUUUCUAGCUCAGCAGUAACAAACCCGAGUAUUGUCCAUGAGGAUGCGAGUUCAAUCCCUGGCCUCGCUCAGUGGGUUAAGGAUCCAGCAUUGCCGUGAGCUGUGGUGUAGGUCGCAGAUUCAGCUCUGAUCCAUCCUUGUUGUGGCUGUGGCUGGCAGCUGUAGCUCAAAUUCGACCCCUAGCCUGGGAACUUCCAUAUGCUGCAGGUACUGCCCUAAAAAGCAAAAAAAAAAAAGAAUGCUGUCAGCAUGGGGAUCGUUAUCAGGUUGAGAAAAUUCCCUCUGAUUUCUAGUUUGCUGAGAUUUGUUUUGGUCAUAAAUUGAUGCUGAAUUUUGCCACCUGCUUUUCCUGAAUUCAUUGUGAUGAUCAUGGGGUUUCUUUUUUGCUUCUCUUCUUUUGUGGAUGUGGUGGAUUACCCGCUGAUCAAUUUUUAAGGCACGAAACAUAUUCAUUGGUUCAUUUGACAAGCAUCCGUGAGGAGUUAUUUUGCCCAGGCACUUGGUGAUGGAGAUACAAUUCUGACACUCCCCUCCGGGAGCUCAAGUGCCCACGUGCCCCUAGUGCUCACCAGCUCUGGAGAUGCGCCCCGUAUUACCUCUGCUGAGGACCUGCCUCCAGCAUCCCCCUCAAACCAGAAUUGCAAGUGUUGGGCCGCACCCCCAGGCCUAGGCCUGGGCUUACCCAGCUUUAAGACCAAAGAAAAGAGCCGCCCACCUUGGGUGGCAGCCUUCGAUCCCAGGGGAAGGGGAAAUUGCCAAUCACGGGGUGAAUUACACCAGGCUGCUCAUCAGUUACCAGGGAAACCAGCAGAGGGGCCUCUCCGAUAAGCCAUCACUAGCUGGGGGCUGGGCGAGGACACAGCAAGGUCCGUCGGGGGGGCAGCGGACACACAGGGAGCAGGACGACAACCAUCUUGAGUGGCCUGGCCACACGGCGGGGUUCUCCUCAGCUGCUGGGGGGACGUGGUUAGGCACAGCUAGCCGGGGAAUCUGGGGGAAUCAGAUCCUGGGGGAGCGGGGGGGGGCGCGGAGAGCAGGCCCCGCAGCUCCCUUCGAGAGGAGAUGAUUCUGUACGCGGGUCCCGGCGCCCCCCGAGGGCCACCGGCCUGGCCGUCCUGGUUCUCUCUCCACCGGAGAGUGGGGCCAACCAUCACCCCGGGGGGACUGGGACAUUUCGCAAUGACAGCCCCACCGAAGGAGAGCGUCUGACCACCUUAGAGAAAGAGCCGCGUCUGAUUACCCAGCAGCAAAGGCACACCCCUGCGUGGCGCCCCCCAAGCACCUCGCCCGCGCCGGAGCGGCCACCCGCGACCCCCGGCGGGGGCCCCGCUUCUUCCAGAAGACAGAAGCUCGGGCGCCCGGGCCCCAGCGCUCUCACCCGCAUGCUGCUCUCGCUGGUGCCGCAGCGCCCGAGCUGGGCUCCCCGCCUCCGUCUUCCUUCCCUCGGGUCCGCUCUCUCCACGCUGAGCCGGAGGAAUCUUCCAGAACUACAAAGCUGGGCGGGAGAACCAGGCAGGAGGGCAAGGGGCCGGGCACAGCUUUGAACGCGGCAGAGGAGGCGACGAAAACUGGCUGGAACCAGCUGGGUCC